Non-coding RNA from Paramuricea clavata, 535 nucleotides. NCBI's taxonomy places the organism in Eukaryota, Metazoa, Cnidaria, Anthozoa, Malacalcyonacea, Plexauridae. The record is from the annotation of a GenBank genome assembly.
GAUUUAUCUCACAAUGACACAUUCCUUUCUGGAUGGCAAGUUACAGUACCAAGCCACACAUAUCUUUGGAAACUGAACAUACUAUAUUUUAACCCAUUGAGUGGCAUUGCUCCCUGAUGCACCCUACUUUAGUAUUUUACUCUGUCUAAUGCCAGACGAUUUUACUCGUCAAGAGGAGAGCGCUGGCGCUAUGGGUUAACUGGCCUAUCUGCCUAUGUUCUAGUUAACCCAUUGAGUGGCAUUGCACCCUGAAGCACCCUACUUUAGUAUUUUACUCUGUCUAACGCCAGAUGAUUUUACUCGUCAAGAGGAGAGCGCUGGUGCUUAAUAUGGUUAACUGGCCUAUCUGCCUAUGUGUCUGUAGUUAACCCAUUGAGUGGCAUUGCACCCUGAUGCACCCUACUUUAGUAUUUUACUCUGUCUAACGCCAGACGAUUUUACUCGUCAAGGGGAGAGCGCUGGCGCUUGAUGGGUUAAUACAUGCUUCCAGAAAUUAUGUCACCUUGGCUAUAUAUAGAGUCUCAUUUUCACAAUU